UUUUAGCCCCGAUAGUAGUGAAAAUCCUUUUGUUUUUUUCUUUAGAAAAACAAAAGAUUGUAACGGAUAGCGGGAAUAGCU
This 81-nucleotide small RNA is filed under the name Flavobacterium frigidimaris. RNAcentral describes it as "Flavo-1 RNA". It matches the Rfam family "Flavo-1 RNA". Lineage: Bacteria; Pseudomonadati; Bacteroidota; Flavobacteriia; Flavobacteriales; Flavobacteriaceae. The record is from RNAcentral.